GAUGAACGCUAGCUACAGGCUUAACACAUGCAAGUCGAGGGGCAGCGGUAUCGAAAGCUUGCUUUUGAUGGGCGUCGACCGGCGCACGGGUGAGUAACGCGUAUCCAACCUGCCCACCACUUGGGGAUAACCUUGCGAAAGUAAGACUAAUACCCAAUGACGUCUCUAGAAGACAUCUGAAGGAGAUUAAAGAUUUAUCGGUGAUGGAUGGGGAUGCGUCUGAUUAGCUUGUUGGCGGGGUAACGGCCCACCAAGGCGACGAUCAGUAGGGGUUCUGAGAGGAAGGUCCCCCACAUUGGAACUGAGACACGGUCCAAACUCCUACGGGAGGCAGCAGUGAGGAAUAUUGGUCAAUGGACGAGAGUCUGAACCAGCCAAGUAGCGUGCAGGAUGACGGCCCUAUGGGUUGUAAACUGCUUUUAUAAGGGAAUAAAGUGAGUCUCGUGAGACUUUUUGCAUGUACCUUAUGAAUAAGGACCGGCUAAUUCCGUGCCAGCAGCCGCGGUAA
Molecule: ribosomal RNA, 508 nt
Filed under: uncultured bacterium
Lineage: Bacteria
Description: partial 16S ribosomal RNA
Rfam family: Bacterial small subunit ribosomal RNA
Source: RNAcentral